UCCACCCAGCUCAAUCCUUCGGGAACUAGUCUAAAACUAAGACCUCUA
This 48-nucleotide transfer RNA is filed under the name Melanosuchus niger (black caiman). RNAcentral describes it as "partial tRNA-Arg". Lineage: Eukaryota; Metazoa; Chordata; Crocodylia; Alligatoridae. The record is from RNAcentral.